RNAcentral lists this ribosomal RNA (433 nucleotides) under uncultured bacterium. Its description in RNAcentral is "partial 16S ribosomal RNA". It matches the Rfam family "Bacterial small subunit ribosomal RNA", at positions 29 to 507 of the family's 1533-position model. The record is from RNAcentral.
AGCGAACGCUGGCGGCAGGCUUAACACAUGCAAGUCGAGCGGGCCCUUCGGGGUCAGCGGCAGACGGGUGAGUAACACGUGGGAACGUACCCUUUGGUUCGGAAUAGCGCUGGGAAACUAGCGCUAAUACCGGAUACGCCCUUUUGGGGAAAGGCUUGCUGCCGAAGGAUCGGCCCGCGUCUGAUUAGCUAGUUGGUGGGGUAAUGGCCUACCAAGGCGACGAUCAGUAGCUGGUCUGAGAGGAUGAUCAGCCACACUGGGACUGAGACACGGCCCAGACUCCUACGGGAGGCAGCAGUGGGGAAUAUUGGACAAUGGGCGCAAGCCUGAUCCAGCCAUGCCGCGUGAGUGAUGAAGGCCUUAGGGUUGUAAAGCUCUUUUGUCCGGGACGAUAAUGACGGUACCGGAAGAAUAAGCCCCGGCUAACUUCGUG